GAUGAACGCUAGCGGCAGGCUUAACACAUGCAAGUCGAGGGGCAGCGCGGGUAGCAAUACCUGGCGGCGACCGGCGAAAGGGUGAGUAACGCGUGAGCAACAUGCCCGAUACUGGGGGAUAGUCAUUAGAAAUGAUGCGUAAUACCCCGUAACACAUUUUCCCGCAUGGGUAGAUGUUGAAAGAUUGAUUGGUAUCGGAUUGGCUCGCGUGCCAUUAGGUAGACGGCGGGGUAACGGCCCACCGUGCCGACGAUGGCUAGGGGUUCUGAGAGGAAGGUCCCCCACAUUGGAACUGAGACACGGUCCAGACUCCUACGGGAGGCAGCAGUGAGGAAUAUUGGACAAUGGCCGGAAGGCUGAUCCANCCAUGCCGCGUGCGGGAGGACGGNCCUAUGGGUUGUAAACCCGCUUUGCGAAGGAGCAAUAAGAGUCACGCGUGGCUCGAUGAGAGUACCUCGCGAANUAACAUCGGCUAACUCCGUGCCAGCAGCCGCGGUAUUACNGAGGAUGCCAGCGUUAUCCCGAAUUAUGGGGUUAAAGGGUGCGUAAG
This 550-nucleotide ribosomal RNA is filed under the name uncultured bacterium. Its description in RNAcentral is "bacterial SSU rRNA". It matches the Rfam family "Bacterial small subunit ribosomal RNA", at positions 28 to 575 of the family's 1533-position model. The record is from RNAcentral.